UAAAAAUAAAUAUGUAUAUAUGAAAAGUAUUUAGAAUUUAUUAAGCAAAAUGUAUAUCAAAUCACAGGGAAAAACAAAGAUUUUAAUGUGCCAAAAAUGAUUUAGAAAAGAAUUUUACAAAACCUAGUAUUUAAGUUAUAAAAUUGUUGGGGUGAUGAUAUUAAAAGAAAAGAAAAAAAAAUCUAAAAUCGGGAGAAAAGAAUUUGCC
RNAcentral lists this long non-coding RNA (208 nucleotides) under Capsella rubella. RNAcentral describes it as "long non-coding RNA (CRUB_LNC003876)". The record is from RNAcentral. Lineage: Eukaryota; Viridiplantae; Streptophyta; Magnoliopsida; Brassicales; Brassicaceae.